This 682-nucleotide ribosomal RNA is filed under the name uncultured bacterium. RNAcentral's name for it is "bacterial SSU rRNA". It matches the Rfam family "Bacterial small subunit ribosomal RNA", at positions 8 to 692 of the family's 1533-position model. The record is from RNAcentral.
AGAGUUUGAUCAUGGCUCAGAUUGAACGCUGGCGGCAUGCUUUACACAUGCAAGUCGAACGGUAACAGGUUAAGCUGACGAGUGGCGAACGGGUGAGUAAUGCAUCGGAACGUGCCCGGUCGUGGGGGAUAACGCAGCGAAAGCUGCGCUGAUACCGCAUACGAUCUGAGGAUGAAAGCGGGGGACCGUAAGGCCUCGCGCGAUCGGAGCGGCCGAUGUCAGAUUAGGUAGUUGGUGGGGUAAAGGCUCACCAAGCCGACGAUCUGUAGCUGGUCUGAGAGGACGACCAGCCACACUGGGACUGAGACACGGCCCAGACUCCUACGGGAGGCAGCAGUGGGGAAUUUUGGACAAUGGGCGCAAGCCUGAUCCAGCAAUGCCGCGUGCAGGAAGAAGGCCUUCGGGUCGUAAACUGCUUUUGUACGGAGCGAAAAGGUCUUUCCUAAUACGAGAGGCUGAUGACGGUACCGUAAGAAUAAGCACCGGCUAACUACGUGCCAGCAGCCGCGGUAAUACGUAGGGUGCGAGCGUUAAUCGGAAUUACUGGGCGUAAAGCGUGCGCAGGCGGUUUUGUAAGACAGGCGUGAAAUCCCCGGGCUCAACCUGGGAAUGGCGCUUGUGACUGCAAAGCUGGAGUGCGGCAGAGGGGGAUGGAAUUCCGCGUGUAGCAGUGAAAUGCGUA